AAGUUGGUCUAAUAAAAGAUAUCAGAUUCACCCAAAGAACCUUGUCCACAUAAAUUAUAUGGAAUAUAAUUAUAAAGCCCUACUUGAAAUUCCUACAAGACAAUUUAAUUCUGUUUUCUCAUUUUUUAAUUUAUUAAUUUAUUUUUUGUAUAACACUAAGUAAUAUAUUUCAUUAGCAGAGUUGAAAGGAAUACUGUGUUUAUCACUUACUUGAUUCAAUAUAUUGACAUCUAUAUGCACAUAUUUAUUAGACACAAAGCAGAGAACUUUAUGGCAACUGCCAUAAGAGAGCUGGUAGCCAAGGUCCCAUUAAUUUUGUUGUUAAUCUUGAAUCCCUCAUCUCAGAAUACCCUUUAACCUGAAGGUUACUCUGCUCUUUUGAGUACUGGAGUGGGAAAGGCAGGGUUAAAUUCUCUCAAAUAAGAGACUUUAAUCCAGAUCUCCAGUGUUUUGUGAGUGUUCUAGCCAUGGGGUUAUUGUGUAACAAGGGACACCACUGACAGCCACCACUGCCUUCAGAUUAAAAUAUAACUGCUCCCAUUCUUUAAAGAAAGGGGAAUUACUUCACUUCCUAGAAGAGAGAGAGAUAAGGGCUGUGAAACCCUAUCAGGAUAGGCACUUCCCAUAUUGGCUGUCUAAGAGCCUAUUUAUAUUGCUAUCUUACCAUGCUGAGCAGUAGGGGUGUGUGAAGCAGGCCCUAUUCAAUUCAGAUUCAGCCCAAAUUGGGGACAGUGAUUCAAUUAAUUGAUUCGGAUCACUGUCCCUGAUUCGAUUCGGCCAAAUCUGAAUCUGAAGGUUCGAUGCUGAUUUGGAGAAUCAGUGAUUCAGGCAUAGACACAGCUUUAAAAGUUUUUUUUUUUUUUUUUUUUUUUUUUUUUUUUUUUUUUUUUGGAGCAUCCCACAGGAGUGCUGGGGGGCCCUCCACAUGCUCAGCGGCGAACCCAGAAGUGGACUGGAAAGUGCUUCUGGUCCACUUCUGGGUCUGCUGCUGAGCAUGCUGGGGGAACCCCCCAUGCUUCUGUGGGACACUCCAUGCACCAGAGCAUCACAGCACUCAUGAGCCCCUGCUACCUAGAGGUAGAUAGAAAAAACUUCUAAAGCUGUGUCUGUGUCCAAAUUUCCAAAUCUUUCCAAACUGAUUCAGAGCAUUCCAGUUUGAUUUGGAGACAUUAAAGGGUCCUCUGAUUCGAUUCGGAGAUUUGGCCACCGAAUCGAGCCAAAUCUCUGCUUAAUCUAAUCGGGGAUCAAAGCUUUGCACAGCCCUACUAAGCAGUCCUUCUCUGGAACAUGCUAUACUGUUCUGUGUGUGCUGCUUCCCACACUAGAAGUAGUGUAGUCAUGGUUAAUAUGGCACUGUGAUCAGGCUAAUUUGUUCUGCUGAAUGGCAGAGAUAAUUAGUGCAGGUACAGUGCCACAUGAACAGAGCUACAUCAGCUCCUUUGGGAGAUAACAUGUAUAGAACACAGUGGGCACGUCUGCGUGUUCAUUAAUAAGCCAUAAUUAUGGCACAUUAAGUUUAGUACCUGUAAUGACAGCUAUUAACUUAAUAUGCUGUAAUCAGCGCUACUGCGCAUUAGCACAGAUGAAUGCUUUUUUUUUGUGUCACUUAAUGCACAUUAGACUAAGUCUACUGAGUAAUAGUUCAUUAGCAUGCUUUUUGCAUGACUCACUAAUGCACAGUAGAAUUAGUCUAAUGUACAUUUUGCAUCUCAUGUGGACGUACUCAAUGGCAUGUUUCAAUGCUGCAGUCACUGGUGUGGUAAAUUAUCAGCACAGACAUUCCCUAGCUGCAUGUCAAUCCUGCUAGUUAAAGUUAAUUUAAGGCUACCUUCACAUUAGCACUUGUCAACCAUCAGUAGAUGGUACGCUAAAAACCUGGGCUGUGUGAAGCUUCGGUCCCUGAUUCAAUUUGGCUCAUUUCAGUGGCCAAAUCUCUGAAUCCGAAUCAAAUCAGAGGACCCUUUAAUCUCUCCGAAUUGAUUUAGAAUUCCCCCCAAAUCAAUUCAGACAGAUUCGGCGAUUCGGACAUAGAUACAACUUUAAAUGAUUUUUCUACAUACUUCUAGGUAGCAGGGUGUCACAGAGCACUAAGGUGCCCUGUGCCUGAAGAGGGGAAAAACUGCUAAAGAAGGAUCCCUAGCGGUGAUUAGGGAGCACAGCUGUGGGUUGCCAGGGCAACUAAUGAGAGUCAGCUGGCUGGAAGGGGCAGGGCCUGGCCCUUAUAAAGCCCAGAAGCAGAGGCCUGAGGCAGUUCGCUGUCAGCAGCCAGAGAGGCAGGAGCUCCCUAAGGCAGGAGGAACAGCAGUGAGUACCUGAACUGAUUACUUAUCUUCAUCUUGGAACAUCUCUGAUAUCUGUGGCUCAUCCUUUGCAACAACAUCUGAGUUUUUCAAGGCUCUUUGAGGACGUGAAGCCCAUGGAAGUUAUUGGAGAGACAUAUUAAUUCCAGUAGCUGUGGAUCGAGUUCUGUGCCUUGCCUUUUCACUGAAAUAAGGCCAAUUUUGCAGAGAAGGGACGGGGAUAUUGAUGGCUGAAUUUCUGAAAAGGACAAAUGCUAGUUAAUCUGCCUUGUCAAUAUUUGACAAAUAGCAGAGCUUCUAAUCUUUAUCUACUUUCAAAUUGUAAAGAAUCAUUCUAGCGGUAAUUGCUGAAUUUCUAUAUUUGGAGUAAAAAGCAUCUCAAAAUCCUGUGUCUUUAUAAUUAUAUAUGACUUUUAAAUAAGUGUAGAAAUAUGGUAACUAUAGCUAGACUAUAGCUUUACCACCAAGCAGUACUUCUGUGGCUUUAGCACCUGCAGCAUCAAAUCUAAGAUCAGAACUCUGUUGUUCCAGUUGUUAUACAUGCGUAAUGAAGAUAUAGACUUACUUCAGAGCUAUAUGAUUUAAAAGAAUUGUUACCUAAAUUUAUUAUGUUAGUAGACACAGGAUAACCUUUACUCAAUAAAACUUAAA
This is a long non-coding RNA of Alligator mississippiensis (American alligator), 2951 nucleotides long. RefSeq lists it as uncharacterized. The record is from RefSeq and is a predicted model, not a curated record. The transcript has 3 exons. Lineage: Eukaryota; Metazoa; Chordata; Crocodylia; Alligatoridae.